CGGGGGGCCUACGGGAGCAGCAGUAGGGAAUCUUCCGCAAUGGGCGAAAGCCUGACGGAGCAACGCCGCGUGAGUGAUGAAGGUCUUCGGAUCGUAAAACUCUGUUAUUAGGGAAGAACAAAUGUGUAAGUAACUAUGCACGUCUUGACGGUACCUAAUCAGAAAGCCACGGCUAACUACGUGCCAGCAGCCGCGGUAAUACAA
This 204-nucleotide ribosomal RNA is filed under the name Staphylococcus sp. CS1. RNAcentral describes it as "partial 16S rRNA". It matches the Rfam family "Bacterial small subunit ribosomal RNA", at positions 331 to 528 of the family's 1533-position model. The record is from RNAcentral. Lineage: Bacteria; Bacillati; Bacillota; Bacilli; Caryophanales; Staphylococcaceae.